Molecule: ribosomal RNA, 301 nt
Filed under: uncultured bacterium
Lineage: Bacteria
Description: partial 16S ribosomal RNA
Rfam family: Bacterial small subunit ribosomal RNA
Source: RNAcentral
CAGUCGCCGCGGUAAUACAGAGGGUGCGAGCGUUAAUCGGAUUUACUGGGCGUAAAGCGUGCGUAGGCGGCUUCUUAAGUCGGAUGUGAAAUCCCCGGGCUUAACCUGGGAACUGCAUUUGAAACUGUCAGGCUGGAGUCUUGUAGAGGGGGGUGGAAUUCCAGGUGUAGCGGUGAAAUGCGUAGAGAUCUGGAGGAAUACCGGUGGCGAAGGCGGCCCCCUGGACAAAGACUGACGCUCAGGUGCGAAAGCGUGGGGAGCAAACAGGAUUAGAUACCCCAGUAGUCCCUGUCUCUUAUAC